UAGCAAACUAGUGGAAACAUCACAGGAGACAGGGAACAUUGAAAACACAGAGUUGCAUACAUAAAACCUCCAAGUAUAUCUGGAAUCUACUGUUUCAUAAAAUGCAAUAAACAUCUUUUAGCUCUCAUUAAUAAGAAAUUUAUUUUGUUUACAGAACCCACAUGCAGACAUAGUAAAGAAAAAAACAAAUUUCUUUAUAGUCUUAUAGAGCUGAACUGAAACUCGCUCACAGACACAUUUCCCCUUGACACUAGUGCCUUGGGAGCCUCAAGGUAGAUGAGACCUUUCCUAACAGAAGCACACACAGACACAACCGCCACCUGAUUUCUGCCUACGUUUCCACUGGCAAUCCUAUGCUUAGCUACCUUUGGACCCCAGGAGGGAAAAGAAACCAAAACGGAACAAAACUUCUCACAUCAGAACUACCAGUUACGAGGGGGAAGAGAAAAAAGGAAACACAACCAAACAGAAAAGAAGUCCUCUAGAGUGCAACGUUUCCCAGGAGCGUGGGCUCUUACGCACCCUCUCCGCGGAUGCGGCGGGCCAGUUGCAUGUCUCCGGGCAUAAUUGUGACGCGCCUGGCAUGGAUGGCACACAGGUUGGUGUCUUCAAAGAGGUUCACCAGGUAGGCCUUGCUGGCUUCCUGCAGGGCCCCAAUGGCCGCACUCUGGAAGCACAGGUCCAGGCUGAUGACCUGAGCGAUCUCGUGCACCAGGCGCUGGAAAGGCAGCUUGUGCAGGAGCAGCUGCGUGGACUUCUGGUACUUUCUGAUUUCCUGCAGCGCCAGGGUGCCAGGCUUGUAGCGGUUCACCAGACCCUCAACCUCAUCAGGACUCUGAAAACCAAAUUAAUUCCCUGGGUUCUGCACACACUGAAGAGGGGGAUCAACCUCUGGAGUCGGCCACAUGGGGUGGAUGCUAGGUGCGAGUUAGCUAAAAUUCUGGGGGCCAAAGACAUUCUGAAUGUUUACAUUUGAUGAUCGUCAUGGAAGUCAUCACAAUGAAAAAGUCAUGUGACUAAAGUCACACGUAGACGACUUCAGUGACUGCUACACCACACCAAGAGGUGUGAUCAUGAGACAUCUCUCAGGUUCUCUCAGGAUGAGGGGAAACGGGGAGGGAAAGAUGGAAAACUGAAAUGGUCACUCCUCUCUCG
RNAcentral lists this long non-coding RNA (1155 nucleotides) under Rhinopithecus bieti (black snub-nosed monkey). RNAcentral's name for it is "lncRNA (ENSRBIG00000045435.1)". Lineage: Eukaryota; Metazoa; Chordata; Mammalia; Primates; Cercopithecidae. The record is from RNAcentral.